GACGAACGCUGGCGGCGUGCCUAAUACAUGCAAGUCGAACGCACAGUUUAUACCGUUGCUUGCUACACCAUAGACUGUGAGUUGCGAACGGGUGAGUAACGCGUAGGUAACCUGCCUGGUAGCGGGUGGUAACUCUUGGAAACGAUAGCUAAUACCGCAUGAUAUUAAUUAUUGCAUGAUAAAUAAUUGAAAGGUGCAAUUGCACCACUACCAGAUGGACCUGCGUUGUAUUAGCUAGUAGGUGAGGUAACGCCGCACACAGACGACGAGAUAUAGCCGACCUGUGAGAGUGAGCGGCCACACAGUGACUGAGACACGGCCCAGACACCUACACGAGGCGGCGGAAGAGAAACUUCGGCAAUGGACGAGAGUCUGAGCGGGCAACGCGGCGUGAGUGAAGAAGGUGUUCGGGGCGUAAAGCUCUGUGUUAAGAGAAGAACGGGUGUGAGAGUGGAAAUGUCACAAUGUGACGGUAACUUACCAAAAAGGGACGGCUAACUACGUG
Molecule: ribosomal RNA, 505 nt
Filed under: uncultured bacterium
Lineage: Bacteria
Description: partial 16S ribosomal RNA
Rfam family: Bacterial small subunit ribosomal RNA
Source: RNAcentral